GCCUCAGGCAACUCCCAGGGCAGCCUUGCAAUGAAGGUCCCCAGGGGCCCAGGAAACCGUCUGAAAGAGGAACAUUUUGCGCAGCAGCGUCCACAGACACCUGGGGCAACUAAUUCUGCCUAGACCAAUGAAGCCAGUCUCUUUCUAGAAAACUCAGAAAUCUGCCAAAAAUAAGAGAAGCAUUCCCAGGAACCUUUGGACUCUGAUGGAAGCGUUCCUGGAGCACCAUCACUGCCGGUAACGGACCAGGAAGGAGGAAAAGGCCAGGAGGCCAAGGAGACCCCAACAGAUGGACUUGAGCCAGUGU
Molecule: long non-coding RNA, 307 nt
Organism: Nannospalax galili (Upper Galilee mountains blind mole rat)
Lineage: Eukaryota; Metazoa; Chordata; Mammalia; Rodentia; Spalacidae
Exons: 3
Source: RefSeq, a predicted model, not a curated record